RNAcentral lists this ribosomal RNA (492 nucleotides) under uncultured bacterium. RNAcentral's name for it is "partial 16S ribosomal RNA". It matches the Rfam family "Bacterial small subunit ribosomal RNA", at positions 29 to 507 of the family's 1533-position model. The record is from RNAcentral.
AGUGAACGCUGGCGGUAGGCCUAACACAUGCAAGUCGAACGGCAGCACAGUAAGAGCUUGCUCUUACGGGUGGCGAGUGGCGGACGGGUGAGGAAUACAUCGGAAUCUACUUUUUCGUGGGGGAUAACGUAGGGAAACUUACGCUAAUACCGCAUACGACCUACGGGUGAAAGCAGGGGAUCUUCGGACCUUGCGCGAUUGAAUGAGCCGAUGUCGGAUUAGCUAGUUGGCGGGGUAAAGGCCCACCAAGGCGACGAUCCGUAGCUGGUCUGAGAGGAUGAUCAGCCACACUGGAACUGAUACACGGUCCAGACUCCUACGGGAGUCAGCAGUGGGGAAUAUUGGACGAUGGGCGCAAGCCUGAUCCAGCCAUACCGCGUGGGUGAAGAAGGCCUUCGGGUUGUAAAGCCCUUUUGUUGGGAAAGAAAAGCAGCAGGUUAAUACCCCGCUGUUCUGACGGUACCCAAAGAAUAAGCACCGGCUAACUUCGUG